RNAcentral lists this ribosomal RNA (1218 nucleotides) under Arthrobacter sp. Its description in RNAcentral is "bacterial SSU rRNA". It matches the Rfam family "Bacterial small subunit ribosomal RNA", at positions 234 to 1460 of the family's 1533-position model. Lineage: Bacteria; Bacillati; Actinomycetota; Actinomycetes; Micrococcales; Micrococcaceae. The record is from RNAcentral.
CGGCCUUUCAGCUGUUGGGGAGGUAAUGGCUUACCAAGGGGACGACGGGUAGCCGGCCUGAGAGGGUGACCGGCCCCACUGGGACUGAGACCCGGCCCAGAUUCCUACGGGAGGCAGCAGUGGGGAAUAUUGCACAAUGGGCGCAAGCCUGAUGCAGCGACGCCGCGUGAGGGAUGACGGCCUUCGGGUUGUAAACCUCUUUCAGUAGGGAAGAAGCGAAAGUGACGGUACCUGCAGAAGAAGCGCCGGCUAACUACGUGCCAGCAGCCGCGGUAAUACGUAGGGCGCAAGCGUUAUCCGGAAUUAUUGGGCGUAAAGAGCUCGUAGGCGGUUUGUCGCGUCUGCCGUGAAAGUCCGGGGCUCAACUCCGGAUCUGCGGUGGGUACGGGCAGACUAGAGUGAUGUAGGGGAGACUGGAAUUCCUGGUGUAGCGGUGAAAUGCGCAGAUAUCAGGAGGAACACCGAUGGCGAAGGCAGGUCUCUGGGCAUUAACUGACGCUGAGGAGCGAAAGCAUGGGGAGCGAACAGGAUUAGAUACCCUGGUAGUCCAUGCCGUAAACGUUGGGCACUAGGUGUGGGGGACAUUCCACGUUUUCCGCGCCGUAGCUAACGCAUUAAGUGCCCCGCCUGGGGAGUACGGCCGCAAGGCUAAAACUCAAAGGAAUUGACGGGGGCCCGCACAAGCGGCGGAGCAUGCGGAUUAAUUCGAUGCAACGCGAAGAACCUUACCAAGGCUUGACAUGAACCGGAAACACCUGGAGACAGGUGCCCCGCUUGCGGUCGGUUUACAGGUGGUGCAUGGUUGUCGUCAGCUCGUGUCGUGAGAUGUUGGGUUAAGUCCCGCAACGAGCGCAACCCUCGUUCUAUGUUGCCAGCACGUGAUGGUGGGGACUCAUAGGAGACUGCCGGGGUCAACUCGGAGGAAGGUGGGGACGACGUCAAAUCAUCAUGCCCCUUAUGUCUUGGGCUUCACGCAUGCUACAAUGGCCGGUACAAAGGGUUGCGAUACUGUGAGGUGGAGCUAAUCCCAAAAAGCCGGUCUCAGUUCGGAUUGGGGUCUGCAACUCGACCCCAUGAAGUCGGAGUCGCUAGUAAUCGCAGAUCAGCAACGCUGCGGUGAAUACGUUCCCGGGCCUUGUACACACCGCCCGUCAAGUCACGAAAGUUGGUAACACCCGAAGCCGGUGGCCUAACCCCUUGUGGGAGGGAGCUGUCGAA